This 468-nucleotide ribosomal RNA is filed under the name uncultured bacterium. RNAcentral's name for it is "partial 16S ribosomal RNA". It matches the Rfam family "Bacterial small subunit ribosomal RNA", at positions 28 to 507 of the family's 1533-position model. The record is from RNAcentral.
GACGAACGCUGGCGGCGUACUUAACACAUGCAAGUCGAACGGAAAGGCCCUGCUUUUGUGGGGUGCUCGAGUGGCGAACGGGUGAGUAACACGUGAGUAACCUGCCCUUGACUUUGGGAUAACUUCAGGAAACUGGGGCUAAUACCGGAUAGGAGCUCCUGCUGCAUGGUGGGGGUUGGAAAGUUUCGGUGGUUGGGGAUGGACUCGCGGCUUAUCAGCUUGUUGGUGGGGUAGUGGCUUACCAAGGCUUUGACGGGUAGCCGGCCUGAGAGGGUGACCGGCCACAUUGGGACUGAGAUACGGACCAGACUCCUACGGGAGGCAGCAGUGGGGAAUAUUGCACAAUGGGCGGAAGCCUGAUGCAGCAACGCCGCGUGCGGGAUGACGGCCUUCGGGUUGUAAACCGCUUUCGCCUGUGACGAAGCGUGAGUGACGGUAAUGGGUAAAGAAGCACCGGCUAACUACGUG